AUUGAACGCUGGCGGCAGGCCUAACACAUGCAAGUCGAGCGGAUGACGGGAGCUUGCUCCUUGAUUCAGCGGCGGACGGGUGAGUAAUGCCUAGGAAUCUGCCUGGUAGUGGGGGGCAACGUUUCGAAAGGAACGCUAAUACCGCAUACGUCCUACGGGAGAAAGCAGGGGACCUUCGGGCCUUGCGCUAUCAGAUGAGCCUAGGUCGGAUUAGCUUGUUGGUGAGGUAAUCGCUCACCAAGGCGACGAUCCGUAACUGGUCUGAGAGGAUGAUCAGUCACACUGGAACUGAGACACGGUCCAGACUCCUACGGGAGGCAGCAGUGGGGAAUAUUGGACAAUGGGCGAAAGCCUGAUCCAGCCAUGCCGCGUGUGUGAAGAAGGUCUUCGGAUUGUAAAGCACUUUAAGUUGGGAGGAAGGGUUGUAGAUUAAUACUCUGCAAUUUUGACGUUACCGACAGAAUAAGCACCGGCUAACUCUGUG
RNAcentral lists this ribosomal RNA (484 nucleotides) under uncultured bacterium. RNAcentral describes it as "partial 16S ribosomal RNA". It matches the Rfam family "Bacterial small subunit ribosomal RNA", at positions 30 to 507 of the family's 1533-position model. The record is from RNAcentral.